ACUCCUACGGGAGGCAGCAGUGGGGAAUCUUCCGCAAUGGACGAAAGUCUGACGGAGCAACGCCGCGUGUACGACGAAGGCCUUCGGGUUGUAAAGUACUGUCUUCAGGGACGAACGGUAGGUAUGAAAAUAUUGUAUGUACAUGACGGUACCUGAGGAGGAAGCCCCGGCUAACUACGUGCCAGCAGCCGCGGUAAUACGUAGGGGGCAAGCGUUGUCCGGAAUCAUUGGGCGUAAAGGGCACGUAGGCGGAUACUUAAGUCUGGUGUGAAAACCUAG
This 279-nucleotide ribosomal RNA is filed under the name Desulfitobacterium enrichment culture. RNAcentral's name for it is "partial 16S ribosomal RNA". It matches the Rfam family "Bacterial small subunit ribosomal RNA", at positions 335 to 605 of the family's 1533-position model. Lineage: Bacteria; Bacillati; Bacillota; Clostridia; Eubacteriales; Desulfitobacteriaceae. The record is from RNAcentral.